AGCAGUGUAGCUCUGUGGAAAGAGCACGUGCUUGGGAGUCAGAGGUUGGGGUUCGAAUCCCGGCUCUGCCA
Molecule: non-coding RNA, 71 nt
Organism: Ornithorhynchus anatinus (platypus)
Lineage: Eukaryota; Metazoa; Chordata; Mammalia; Monotremata; Ornithorhynchidae
Source: Rfam